AUGGAUUCCGACCUCGACAUGGAGGAUUCUGAUCUUCGGUCGGUCAUGGCUUUUCCUGUGACUGCCUCGCUGGGCCCUGCUGGUCCCCUCCUCAGGCAACUCCGCUUGCUGACCACUUUACCGAACGUGGUUGGCGAGGAUGAGAUUCAGAGGUUCACAGAGGAUCUCGAUGGAUUAUGCAUCUCCCUCAUGCAUCAGUCAGAAGCGGAGGAGCCUUUGAGCUCCACGGCUAAGUCCUGGAUGAACAAGGUCCGGGAACUAUGUUAUGACACCAAAAGCUACUUGGACGAUGCCCCAUUUAUUUCCAAGCAAGACGAUGAGGAUGAUGAUGCCCAGCUCACUCCACAAGAGAAGCAAGAAAAUGCCCAGUUCGAAUUCAAGAUGCUUGAGGCUCGAGCCAAGAAUGCGAGCAGAAGACGCAAGAGGUAUGAAAUCGAUCAGAAGAGCUCUAAUAACAAGACUAAACUUCCGUCAAAGAGGAGUCGGCUUCCAGUUCUCCAUCCACAACUGAUUGACCGCUACAGAAUGGAUAAGCUCACCAACAUGCUGGGUAAUGAAGAGGGGGAGCCGCUCAAGAUUGUAUCUAUGGUUGGGCUUGAGGGUGUCGGUAAGACCACACUCGCCAAGAGGGUAUACCACAAGCUCCAGACCGGUGAACGGUUCCGGUGCCGGGCUUUUGUGAGGGUGUCUAGGAACCCGGACAUGAGGAGGCUUCUAACCACCAUUUUCACACAGAUUCAAUUGCCGGAUUUUUCUUCUUCGGAGGGUGUCUCUCAGCCUAGUUGCUGCUUGGAUGCGCAGGCCCUUAUCACAAAUAUCAAAAAUUAUCUGCAAGACAAAAGGUACUUGAUCAUAAUUGAUGAUUUAUGGACUACCUCGGUAUGGGAUAUUAUUAGGCGUGCUUUUCCUGAUGACGGUUGUCACAGCAGAAUAGUAAUAAUCACCCAAUUUGAGGAUGUAGCAUCGGCAUGCUGUAGUUAUCAGUCAAAGUACAAAUUUGAGAUGGAUCCUCUCAAAUAUGAUCAAUCACGAAAAUUAUUUUUCAGUAUAGUGUUUGGCUCUGAAGAUGAAAUCAGGUUCCAUGAGGGCUUCAAAAAAGUGUCAUCUGAGAUUAUUGAGAAAUGUGAUGGUUUACCGUUAUCAAUGGUAAAUAUAGCCAGCUUGUUGCCAGCACCAAGCAGACUGAACCUCCAGCAAUGGAUGGAUAUUCGAGAUUCGUUGCCUCCCACUCUGAAGACAAAUCCUAGUUCUGAAGGGAUGGAAAAGGUUAUAAAUCUUAUAUACAACAAUCUUUCCCCUCAAGUGAAGACAUGCUUGCUACAUCUUGUUUUGUAUCCAGAGGGCUACACGAGCAAUAAGGAUGACUUGGUGAAGCAAUGGGUAACUGAAGGUUUCAUAGGGGAAGGGCAAAAUAAUGAGGAAAUUGCGCGGGAUUAUUUUGAUGAGCUUGUCAGUACAGGAAUGAUCCAAGCUGUAGACAUGAAUUACCAAGGGGUACAGUCGUGUACACUUCACCACAUGGUACAUGAUUUUAUUGCGAAGAAAUCCAUGGAGAGAAACUUCAUCAUUGUUGUGGACUAUUUUCAGUCAGCUAUAUUGCUUAAUCCUAGCAAGGUUCGUCGUCUGUCUAUCCAAUUCGGUGGUGCAAGGAACGCACGGAUACCAGCGGGAAUCACGCUGUCCGAAGUUCAAUCACUUGCAUUUUUUGGAUUCUGUGGAUGCACGGAUUUCAUUGGUGGGUGUAAGCUUCUUCGGGUUCUAAUUCUCCAUGUGUGGGAUGAUCAAGAUAAGGUGCCUUUUGACCUCUCUGGAAUUAUUAGUAAACUACUUCCACUGAGAUAUUUGAAGAUUGCAUGCAAUAUCCCAAUCAAACUUCCAGACAAGAUUCAAGAUCUGCAAUACUUGGAGACACUGGAAGUGGACGCAACAGUAGCAACUAUCCCAUCGGGUAUCAGAAAACUCAGCAGGCUCUCCAGUCUAAAGAUUGCAGUUAGUGUGCUAUCGAGGAAUGAUAUUUGUAUCCUCCGAGCAUUGCCAGCCCUUUCCGCUCUCUCGCUGCAUGUGUGGACCACGCCCAUUGAAAUGAUCAUCUUCGACAAGGAAGAAUUUCUAGUUCUCAAGUCCUUUGAAUUCAGGUGCCCCGUGCCUUGGCUGAAAUUUGAAACUGGUUCAAUGCCUGACCUCCGGAAUCUCGACCUAGGUUUCAACGCCUGCGAAGCAGAACAGCACGAUAUUGUGCCUAUCGGCAUGGAGCACCUGUCAGGCCUCCAAGUAAUCACUGCACAUAUUUGGGGUUCACAUGCCGAUGUAGGAUCUACAUUCAGAACCGCCAUUAGCAGUCAUCCAAGCAAUCCUAGAAUCUACAUGCGGCUGGUCCAUCCUAUUUUUCAUGGUGACGCGACCACAAGUGUGGGGACAAUCAAAGUGAAAGAUGAGAAAAAACAAGCUGCCGAUACCAGGAGAUGUAAAAACGGUGUCCGCAUGCCAACUGCCCAACCGCCUUCAUUUCCCUUCCACCCGACGCCCGCCUCCGCCGCCGGCGAUUUCUUGCCGAAAGCCUUGCUGCCGCCGCCCUACCGUCGAUCCCCGACCCCGCCGCCUAGCCAUCGAGGAGCCGCUGAUUUGAGCCUGUCCCGCCAGACUUCCGCCGUCGCGCGACUCGCCCAUCGCACCACGCCGCCGUCGCCCCGCUGCCAAAUCCAGACGCUCCACCGCCCCCGGUACCGGUCCAGACGCUACUCUGCCCCCGCUCGCCUCCAAAUCGUCCGAAUUGGACGCUUCUCCGACGCUGAAUCGCUGCCGCACCGCCGCAUGAUUUGA
This 2820-nucleotide ribosomal RNA is filed under the name Triticum aestivum (bread wheat). RNAcentral describes it as "partial small subunit ribosomal RNA". Lineage: Eukaryota; Viridiplantae; Streptophyta; Magnoliopsida; Poales; Poaceae. The record is from RNAcentral.